RNAcentral lists this ribosomal RNA (797 nucleotides) under uncultured bacterium. RNAcentral's name for it is "bacterial SSU rRNA". It matches the Rfam family "Bacterial small subunit ribosomal RNA", at positions 8 to 794 of the family's 1533-position model. The record is from RNAcentral.
AGAGUUUGAUCAUGGCUCAGAUUGAACGCUGGCGGCAGGCCUAACACAUGCAAGUCGAGCGGUAGCACAAGAGAGCUUGCUCUCUGGGUGACGAGCGGCGGACGGGUGAGUAAUGUCUGGGAAACUGCCUGAUGGAGGGGGAUAACUACUGGAAACGGUAGCUAAUACCGCAUAACGUCUUCGGACCAAAGUGGGGGACCUUCGGGCCUCACGCCAUCAGAUGUGCCCAGAUGGGAUUAGCUAGUAGGUGGGGUAAUGGCUCACCUAGGCGACGAUCCCUAGCUGGUCUGAGAGGAUGACCAGCCACACUGGAACUGAGACACGGUCCAGACUCCUACGGGAGGCAGCAGUGGGGAAUAUUGCACAAUGGGCGCAAGCCUGAUGCAGCCAUGCCGCGUGUGUGAAGAAGGCCUUCGGGUUGUAAAGCACUUUCAGCGAGGAGGAAGGGUAGUGUGUUAAUAGCACAUUGCAUUGACGUUACUCGCAGAAGAAGCACCGGCUAACUCCGUGCCAGCAGCCGCGGUAAUACGGAGGGUGCAAGCGUUAAUCGGAAUUACUGGGCGUAAAGCGCACGCAGGCGGUUUGUUAAGUCAGAUGUGAAAUCCCCGCGCUUAACGUGGGAACUGCAUUUGAAACUGGCAAGCUAGAGUCUUGUAGAGGGGGGUAGAAUUCCAGGCGUAGCGGUGAAAUGCGUAGAGAUCUGGAGGAAUACCGGUGGCGAAGGCGGCCCCCUGGACAAAGACUGACGCUCAGGUGCGAAAGCGUGGGGAGCAAACAGGAUUAGAUACCCCGGUAGU